AACCACACUGUUUUCUUCUCAUUGGCUUCACAUCAAUUCCUGGCUUAUCUGCAAUUACAAUCAGCUCCCCACUGAAUGAGGGUGAAGGGCAGAAGACAGGUCCAUGUGUCAUGGUGGUUUUUAUUGGAAAGCCAUAAACUCUGUAGGACCCAUUCACAGAGAGGGAAAGAGUUAAAGCAUAAUGUCACAGCCUACAAAGAAAGCCCAAGAGCAGCCACCCCAACCAAAUGCACAUCUUCAGACAAAGCAGCCAGUCUGUGUACGGAGCAAUAAGAAGGAGAAAGGCAGAGUAGGCUGGGGGCACUGACUUUCCAGGCUACCCCUGUGGAAUCACAGAAUCUCUGUCUGCUGCCUCUCUCCUGCCAACAAGAAAGGAAAUGUCCACAUUUGUCUCCAUGGCUAAGCUUCCUGAUUACCAGCACGGGCUGGAGAGACACUGCUGAACAUCCUUCCUCUGUACCUCAGGCUGGACUGGGGGAGUAGGGGCUGCUGGAGCCAGGAGUGAGGGGAUGAUGCCUUGGUCUUCAUAAUGAGCAGAGCCUCUCCAAGGAGUCCUUGCUGCUACUCCUGAGAAGAGUCUCUUUGGAGCCUUCAAGUGCUGCAAAAUCUACAUCUCUGUGCAUCUGAGGCCAUAAAUAAAGCAGACCCCUUUCCAGCUGAGCUCAGGAUUCUAGAAACCUAGCAAAGUUCUCACAAGAGACUCCCCUAUCCCCAAUCACCCCAAACAGGGCCUCUCCCCGACACAGGAUAAAUUCUCAAGCACAGUGCUAACCCUUCCUAGAAAUGUGGGCAUGUGCAGUCACUCACACUCACACACAUACCUAUCUCAUAGUCAGAGAACCCCAGAACUUGAAGGGGACUUAGGGCCACCCAGACAGACUGCCCCAUUGCAUAGAUGGGGAAGCUGAGGCCCAGAAAGGGGAGACAGCUGGGACUGGAACCCAGGUCUCCUGACCCAAGUCCAAGGCUCUUUCCAG
This 977-nucleotide long non-coding RNA is filed under the name Homo sapiens (human). RNAcentral's name for it is "HSALNT0195079". Lineage: Eukaryota; Metazoa; Chordata; Mammalia; Primates; Hominidae. The record is from RNAcentral.